This 970-nucleotide long non-coding RNA is filed under the name Marmota monax (woodchuck). The record is from RNAcentral. Lineage: Eukaryota; Metazoa; Chordata; Mammalia; Rodentia; Sciuridae.
GUUAUCUCAGCCAGCCUGGGUAGUACUGUCUGUUCUCUUGCAACCCACUGGGCCUGCCUGGCUCUUGGGCACAAUCCCACAGCCUUUCCCCUGCUCUGGGCCCUCCACCACCUCCUCCCUAAAGAAGGUCAUGCAUCUUGGGCUCCAGCUGCCUGCUGUGGCCUCUCAGGAGAGGUCACGCAAUGCAGUUGAUGAGGUGGGGUCACGUGUGUUGGGGCAGCAGGCUGGCUGCAGUUGGGGGAGGUGGCUCCUGUGUCCCUGAGCUUGUCAUCUCUGUAAAGCCUUCCCUGACCACCCAGGCAAGGACCCCACCAGUGUUCCCUUGCCAAUGUUGCUGUUCUAUUUACACUGUGCAGGGCCUGUUCUCUGGGCAGAUGGCCAGGUUGAUGGCAUCAGGGCCCACCUCCUUGGGUGCAGGUGGUUCUUGUAAGAGCAGGGAGGACAAGUACCUAGUCCCAAGCCAGAGCUGGGAGCCUGUUUCAGUGGGGGCUCAGCCCUUGGAGACACCACUAGGGCUUAAGUAUUUCAGGAAGAGCUGAGGCAGGGGAAGGGCUAAGUACCUCUACCCUGCUCCUCAAUGCCUGCACUUGCCCCGCAGGAACCAGCCUGGCUUGUGGGGUGGUGGGCAAGAAUGGGCAGCUCUUCCUCUUCAGCCUGGGCUGCUAGUAGGUAGUGGUCCUUGGAGAUUAGUUUUGGGCAGGUUCCCUGGGCAAGCAAGUGUGGGCUUUGAGACCACCAUAGUAGUGACAGGCUGUGGGGUAAGCUGGGGCUUCCUCACCAGCUCAGCUAAGCUGGCAGUAUGAGGGCUACUGAACAUUGGGUCUCAGUCCAUCACUCCAGGUGCUAACCAAGAUGUGGGCAUCUCCUAGAUAGUGUUAGUGGGGUUGCUACUUCUCUUUGCCCCCACACUGAUAUGUGAUAAGGUAGAUGGUGAGUUUCAGAGCUUGGCGUGGAGAGCAGAUGGAGCUGG